Molecule: ribosomal RNA, 1296 nt
Filed under: Acidovorax sp. BoFeN1
Lineage: Bacteria; Pseudomonadati; Pseudomonadota; Betaproteobacteria; Burkholderiales; Comamonadaceae
Description: bacterial LSU rRNA
Rfam family: Bacterial large subunit ribosomal RNA
Source: RNAcentral
CGCAAACCGACACUGGUGCGCGAGAUGAGUAUUCUAAGGCGCUUGAGAGAACUCAGGAGAAGGAACUCGGCAAAUUGAUACCGUAACUUCGGGAGAAGGUAUGCCCCAAGUAGGUGAACCUGUACAAGGCGAGCCCAAAGGGGUUGCAAAAAAUCGGUGGCUGCGACUGUUUAAUAAAAACACAGCACUCUGCAAACACGAAAGUGGACGUAUAGGGUGUGACGCCUGCCCGGUGCUGGAAGAUUAAAUGAUGGGGUGCAAGCUCUUGACUGAAGUCCCAGUAAACGGCGGCCGUAACUAUAACGGUCCUAAGGUAGCGAAAUUCCUUGUCGGGUAAGUUCCGACCUGCACGAAUGGCGUAACGAUGGCCACACUGUCUCCUCCUGAGACUCAGCGAAGUUGAAAUGUUUGUGAUGAUGCAAUCUCCCCGCGGAAAGACGGAAAGACCCCAUGAACCUUUACUGUAGCUUUGUAUUGGACUUUGAACAGAUCUGUGUAGGAUAGGUGGGAGGCUUUGAAGUGAGGUCGCUAGAUCUCAUGGAGCCAACGUUGAAAUACCACCCUGGUGUGUUUGAGGUUCUAACCUAGGUCCAUUAUCUGGAUCGGGGACAGUGCAUGGUAGGCAGUUUGACUGGGGCGGUCUCCUCCCAAAGCGUAACGGAGGAGUUCGAAGGUACGCUAGUUACGGUCGGACAUCGUGACGAUAGUGCAAUGGCAUAAGCGUGCUUAACUGCGAGACUGACAAGUCGAGCAGAUGCGAAAGCAGGACAUAGUGAUCCGGUGGUUCUGUAUGGAAGGGCCAUCGCUCAACGGAUAAAAGGUACUCUGGGGAUAACAGGCUGAUACCGCCCAAGAGUUCAUAUCGACGGCGGUGUUUGGCACCUCGAUGUCGGCUCAUCUCAUCCUGGGGCUGUAGCCGGUCCCAAGGGUAUGGCUGUUCGCCAUUUAAAGAGGUACGUGAGCUGGGUUUAAAACGUCGUGAGACAGUUUGGUCCCUAUCUUCCGUGGGCGCUGCAGAUUUGAGGAAGCCUGCUCCUAGUACGAGAGGACCGGAGUGGACACACCUCUGGUGUAUCGGUUGUCACGCCAGUGGCAUUGCCGAGUAGCUAAGUGUGGAAGAGAUAACCGCUGAAAGCAUCUAAGCGGGAAACUCGUUUCAAGAUGAGAUCUGCCGGGGCCUUGAGCCCCCUAAAGAGUCGUUCAAGACCAGGACGUUGAUAGGUCAGGUGUGGAAGCGCAGUAAUGCGUUAAGCUAACUGAUACUAAUUGCUCGUGCGGCUUGACCCUAUAACUUUG